This 274-nucleotide ribosomal RNA is filed under the name uncultured Burkholderiales bacterium. Its description in RNAcentral is "partial 16S ribosomal RNA". It matches the Rfam family "Bacterial small subunit ribosomal RNA", at positions 528 to 802 of the family's 1533-position model. The record is from RNAcentral. Lineage: Bacteria; Pseudomonadati; Pseudomonadota; Betaproteobacteria; Burkholderiales.
UAGGGUGCGAGCGUUAAUCGGAAUACUGGGCGUAAAGCGUGCGCAGGCGGCUUUGCAAGACAGAGGUGAAAUCCCCGGGCUCAACCUGGGAACUGCCUUUGUGACUGCAAGGCUAGAGUACGGCAGAGGGGGAUGGAAUUCCGCGUGUAGCAGUGAAAUGCGUAGAUAUGCGGAGGAACACCGAUGGCGAAGGCAAUCCCCUGGGCCUGUACUGACGCUCAUGCACGAAAGCGUGGGGAGCAAACAGGAUUAGAUACCCUGGUAGUCAAGGGCG